GACGAACGCUGGCGGCGUGCUUAACACAUGCAAGUCGAACGGAAAGGCCCUGCUUUUGUGGGGUGCUCGAGUGGCGAACGGGUGAGUAACACGUGAGUAACCUGCCCUUGACUUUGGGAUAACUUCAGGAAACUGGGGCUAAUACCGGAUAGGAGCUCCUGCUGCAUGGUGGGGGUUGGAAAGUUUCGGCGGUUGGGGAUGGACUCGCGGCUCAUCAGCUUGUUGGUGGGGUAGUGGCUUACCAAGGCUUUGACGGGUAGCCGGCCUGAGAGGGUGACCGGCCACAUUGGGACUGAGAUACGGCCCAGACUCCUACGGGAGGCAGCAGUGGGGAAUAUUGCACAAUGGGCGGAAGCCGGAUGCAGCAACGCCGCGUGCGGGAUGACGGCCUUCGGGUUGUAAACCGCUUUCGCCUGUGACGAAGCGUGAGUGACGGUAAUGGGUAAAGAAGCACCGGCUAACUACGU
RNAcentral lists this ribosomal RNA (467 nucleotides) under uncultured bacterium. RNAcentral describes it as "partial 16S ribosomal RNA". It matches the Rfam family "Bacterial small subunit ribosomal RNA", at positions 28 to 506 of the family's 1533-position model. The record is from RNAcentral.